This is a non-coding RNA of Entophlyctis luteolus, 77 nucleotides long. The record is from the annotation of a GenBank genome assembly. Lineage: Eukaryota; Fungi; Chytridiomycota; Chytridiomycetes; Chytridiales; Chytriomycetaceae.
AGAUGGCCGAGUGGUUAAGGCGUCGGCCUUAAGAUCCGAUGACGAAAGUCGCGUGGGUUCGAACCCCACUCUAUGCA